UGGGGUGGUUGCUAGGGUGUUGCUAUGCGGUUGCUAGGGUACUUUGGGUAGUUGCGAGGGUGUUGUUAUGCGGUUGUUAGGGCACUUAGGGUGGUUGCUAGGGUGUUGCUAUGUGGUUGCUAGGGUACCCGGGGUGGUUGCUAGAGUUUUGCUAUG
This is a long non-coding RNA of Sinocyclocheilus grahami, 156 nucleotides long. RefSeq lists it as uncharacterized. NCBI's taxonomy places the organism in Eukaryota, Metazoa, Chordata, Actinopteri, Cypriniformes, Cyprinidae. The record is from RefSeq and is a predicted model, not a curated record. The transcript has 3 exons.